RNAcentral lists this ribosomal RNA (311 nucleotides) under uncultured eukaryote. RNAcentral's name for it is "partial 18S ribosomal RNA". It matches the Rfam family "Eukaryotic small subunit ribosomal RNA", at positions 1470 to 1796 of the family's 1831-position model. The record is from RNAcentral.
CCCCUAGACGUUCUGGGCUGCACGCGCGCUACAAUAAUACGCACAGCGAGUAUCACCGAGCUCGAAAGGGCAAGGUAAACAAUAGAAAAGGUACUGUAAUGGUUAUAGAUCCUUGUAAUUAUUGAUCUUCAACGAGGAAUUCCUAGUAAGUAUGUGUCAUCAUCACGCACUGAUUACGUCCCUGCCCUUUGUACACACCGCCCGUCGCUCCUACCGACUGGGUGAGCCGAUGAAACUCUCGGAUGUAGGCUAUUCAUAGCCCGCAGAAGAGAUUUGAAUCGUAGCGCUUAGAGGAAGGAGAAGUCGUAACA